AUUGAACGCUGGCGGCAUGCUUUACACAUGCAAGUCGGACGGCAGCACAGAGAAGCUUGCUUCUUGGGUGGCGAGUGGCGAACGGGUGAGUAACAUAUCGGAACGUACCGAGUAGUGGGGGAUAACUGAUCGAAAGAUCAGCUAAUACCGCAUACGUCUUGAGAGGGAAAGCAGGGGACCUUCGGGCCUUGCGCUAUUCGAGCGGCCGAUAUCUGAUUAGCUAGUUGGUGGGGUAAAGGCCUACCAAGGCGACGAUCAGUAGCGGGUCUGAGAGGAUGAUCCGCCACACUGGGACUGAGACACGGCCCAGACUCCUACGGGAGGCAGCAGUGGGGAAUUUUGGACAAUGGGCGCAAGCCUGAUCCAGCCAUGCCGCGUGUCUGAAGAAGGCCUUCGGGUUGUAAAGGACUUUUGUCAGGGAAGAAAAGGCUGUUGCUAAUAUCAUCAGCUGAUGAC
This 456-nucleotide ribosomal RNA is filed under the name Neisseria meningitidis. RNAcentral's name for it is "bacterial SSU rRNA". It matches the Rfam family "Bacterial small subunit ribosomal RNA", at positions 30 to 473 of the family's 1533-position model. Lineage: Bacteria; Pseudomonadati; Pseudomonadota; Betaproteobacteria; Neisseriales; Neisseriaceae. The record is from RNAcentral.